GCCUACAACAGUAGGGAAGAGAUCAGCAUGAUGGUGCACCGCGUCGGCCGGCUGCUGCUGCUGGACGAGUUCGACAUCACCUCCCAUCUGCUGGAGACGGAGAAGACCGAGUGGGUCUGGCUCGACCGCCUGCUCCGCGAACAUUUCAUGACCAAGUUCGAGGACGUGGACUGGGCGCGGCGCGCCGCCGCCGAGG
Pollicipes pollicipes is the source of this 196-nucleotide long non-coding RNA. RefSeq lists it as uncharacterized. Lineage: Eukaryota; Metazoa; Arthropoda; Thecostraca; Pollicipedomorpha; Pollicipedidae. The transcript is spliced from 3 exons. The record is from RefSeq and is a predicted model, not a curated record.